GUAGGUGGCAAGCGUUGUCCGGAAUUAUUGGGCGUAAAGCGCGCGCAGGUGGUUCUUUAAGUCUGAUGUGAAAGCCCCCGGGCUCAACCGGGGAGGGUCACUGGAAACUGGGGAACUUGAGUGCAGGAGAGGAAAGUGGAAUUCCACGUGUAGCGGUGAAAUGCGUAGAUAUGUGGAGGAACACCAGUGGCGAAGGCGACUUUCUGGCCUGUAACUGACACUGAGGCGCGAAAGCGUGGGGAGCAAACAGGAUUAGAUACCCUGGUAGUCCACGCCGUAAACGAUGAGUGCUAAGUGUUGGGGGGUUUCCGCCCCUCAGUGCUGCAGCUAACGCAUUAAGCACUCCGCCUGGGGAGUACGGUCGCAAAGACUG
RNAcentral lists this ribosomal RNA (373 nucleotides) under uncultured organism. RNAcentral describes it as "partial 16S ribosomal RNA". It matches the Rfam family "Bacterial small subunit ribosomal RNA", at positions 527 to 896 of the family's 1533-position model. The record is from RNAcentral.